GUAGGUGAACCUGCGGAAGGAUCAUUAUUGAAAUAAACCUGAUGGGUUGCUGCUGGCUCUCUAGGGAGCAUGUGCACACCUUGUCAUCUUUAUAUCUCCACCUGUGCACCUUUUGUAGACCCUCUCCAGGUCUAUGUUGCUUCAUUUUACCCCAAUGUAUGUUAAAAGAAUGUUGUGCUUAUAAAAUCAAUACAACUUUCAGCAACGGAUCUCUUGGCUCUC
This 222-nucleotide unclassified non-coding RNA is filed under the name rhizosphere metagenome. RNAcentral describes it as "partial ribosomal RNA internal transcribed spacer region". The record is from RNAcentral.